RNAcentral lists this ribosomal RNA (439 nucleotides) under uncultured bacterium. RNAcentral's name for it is "bacterial SSU rRNA". It matches the Rfam family "Bacterial small subunit ribosomal RNA", at positions 340 to 767 of the family's 1533-position model. The record is from RNAcentral.
UACGGGAGGCAGCAGUGGGGAAUAUUGGACAAUGGGCGCAAGCCUGAUCCAGCCAUGCCGCGUGUGUGAAGAAGGCCUUUUGGUUGUAAAGCACUUUAAGCGAGGAGGAGGCUCUCUUAGUUAAUACCUAAGAUGAGUGGACGUUACUCGCAGAAUAAGCACCGGCUAACUCUGUGCCAGCAGCCGCGGUAAUACAGAGGGUGCGAGCGUUAAUCGGAUUUUACUGGGCGUAAAGCGUGCGUAGGCGGCUUUUUUAAGUCGGAUGUGAAAUCCCCGAGCUUAACUUGGGAAUUGCAUUCGAUACUGGGAAGCUAGAGUAUGGGAGAGGAUGGUAGAAUUCCAGGUGUAGCGGUGAAAUGCGUAGAGAUCUGGAGGAAUACCGAUGGGCGAAGGGCAGCCAUCUGGCCUAAUACUGACGCUGAGGUCGAAAGCAUGGGGA